Molecule: non-coding RNA, 45 nt
Filed under: Marmota monax (woodchuck)
Lineage: Eukaryota; Metazoa; Chordata; Mammalia; Rodentia; Sciuridae
Rfam family: Histone 3' UTR stem-loop
About the family: The mRNAs of metazoan histone genes lack a poly-A tail. 3' end processing occurs at a site between a highly conserved stem-loop (modelled by this family) and a purine rich region around 20 nts downstream (the histone downstream element, or HDE).
Source: RNAcentral
CCAAAGGCUCUUUUAAGAGCCACCCACUUAAUCAGCAGAAAAGAG